RNAcentral lists this ribosomal RNA (320 nucleotides) under uncultured eukaryote. RNAcentral describes it as "partial 18S ribosomal RNA". It matches the Rfam family "Eukaryotic small subunit ribosomal RNA", at positions 1470 to 1796 of the family's 1831-position model. The record is from RNAcentral.
CCCCUAGAUGUUCUGGGCCGCACGCGCGCUACACUGAACAGUUCAACAAGUCUUAACCUUGGCCGAUAGGUCUGGGUAAUCUUUGAACGCUGUUCGUGAUUGGGAUAGACCUUUGCAAUUAUGGGUCUUCAACGAGGAAUUCCUAGUAAACGCAAGUCAUCAGCUUGCAUUGAUUACGUCCCUGCCCUUUGUACACACCGCCCGUCGCACCUACCGAUUGAAUGGUCCGGUGAAAUCUCGGGACGGCGGCUCGGUUGCUUGCGUCCGACUGCUGAAACUUGAUUAAACCAUAUCAUUUAGAGGAAGGUGAAGUCGUAACA